RNAcentral lists this ribosomal RNA (253 nucleotides) under uncultured bacterium. RNAcentral describes it as "partial 16S ribosomal RNA". It matches the Rfam family "Bacterial small subunit ribosomal RNA", at positions 524 to 776 of the family's 1533-position model. The record is from RNAcentral.
UACGUAGGGGGCAAGCGUUGUCCGGAUUUAUUGGGCGUAAAGAGCGUGUAGGCGGCUUGGCAAGUCCGUUGUGAAAACUCGAGGCUCAACCUCGAGACGCCGGUGGAAACUGCAAAGCUAGAGUCCGGAAGAGGAGAGUGGAAUUCCUGGUGUAGCGGUGAAAUGCGCAGAUAUCAGGAGGAACACCGGUGGCGAAGGCGGGUCUCUGGGCCGAUACUGACGCUGAGGAGCGAAAGCGUGGGGAGCGAACAGG